UCACAUGAUUGUAAAAUGGCGGAAGUCACAAAUGUUCUUAAAAUAAAUCACUCACGGGUGUAAGCCAUUUGAAAUAGGCAUAACUCCAAGAUGUCGAUGGUAACCAUUCCGAGAGUAAAGAAAAAGUGUCACCAUUCCCAUGGAGAAAUGACUUGAACAACAAAAUAAUUUUAUGUGUGCAAGACUGGUGAUGCCAAAAUCAGUGAGUGUUUUGACCUGUUGAGCCGCUAUGUGAUCCACUCUCAGUCUGUCGGGCCAGGGUACAACAUUAAAUAUGUGACUGCAGAAGAAGGGGCUCUGUUCUGCAGCUACAGUAAACGUCCUGCAACUACUCACUAGUCAGAGAGAAUUCCAUCCGCACCUUGGGUUUAGGCUGUGUGCAUUCUGGUAAAAGAGGGUACCCACCAAAAGAAAGCGCUCAUAUUGCAAUACGAAGAUCAUUGGUUGGAUGUUUGCAAUGCCAAGCUACAUGUCUUCCAAGCUGAUUUCCACAAAGAACAAAGUUGCCAGAAAGAAACUGGGCUCUACCGAUGCGUGCAACUAAAAAAACCUUCCAAUGAUGUUAUGUUAUCAGAUGAAACUUCUGUUAAGAUGUCAUCAACAAGCAGGUUGAUGGUUUUGCCUGAUAGGACAUGGUUUUGACGAACUGCCAACAAGAGCUUCAAGGAGAAAACAACCCUACAUGUACCAGUGUUGAUGGUGUUUAUCAUGUCGGUACACUGCUUGUUUGCCAUCUGUGUGUGCCACCAUCCGCUAAAGAAGCCGCGCCUCCUACUCUGCAGAUUCCAAAGCCCCGCCGGGAACCUUCAGCACUCACACCAUCUCCUGCAGGACAACGACGACGAUGAUGAACUCUGAUCUUAUGAUCUGUUGUUAAUUAUCUAUAAGGCUAUAUUAGAAUUCAUGAUUGUUUUUUCAUACAUGUAGUGUUUUUUGAAAGAAACACAAGUUACAUGUUGUCAAAGCCUUGUUGUUGUUGGCCUCUAUUUCAGGCCAAAGUUUUUUGUUACAUGUUCUAGUCUUAACUCAAAAACGAUCAACAUAUUGACAUGAGACUUGGUACGAGUUAUCAGUGCAAAGUUAUGCCUCUUGAUGAACUUUGAGGAAAAUAGAUGAGCACACUUGGGCGCUAUAUUGAUAUCAGCUAUAUUGACUGAUUUACAACCAAAUGCAUCCCAGUUUAAACAAAAAACUGUCACUGGAAGUGCUACACACAAAUUCAUUCCAAUUAGGACAAGAAUCAAGUGCAGUUCACAGAAAUGUAAGGGACAUGUACAAUAAGCAUCGUUUUUAGGUAGGGAUGAGAAGAUACGGUCAUCAGGUGAUACGAUACAUAUCGAUACAACUACAUGCAGAUACGAUAUUUUUGAUACGAUACAGAUACGUAAACACAGUUACAGAAACACACAAAAGAUACCAGAAUUGUUUAAUUUUAU
Mya arenaria is the source of this 1436-nucleotide long non-coding RNA. RefSeq lists it as uncharacterized. The record is from RefSeq and is a predicted model, not a curated record. The transcript is spliced from 6 exons. Lineage: Eukaryota; Metazoa; Mollusca; Bivalvia; Myida; Myidae.